UACGAAGGGGGCUAGCGUUGCUCGGAAUCACUGGGCGUAAAGGUGCGUAGGCGGGUCUUUAAGUCAGGGGUGAAAUCCUGGAGCUCAACUCCAGAACUGCCUUUGAUACUGAAGAUCUUGAGUUCGGGAGAGGUGAGUGGAACUGCGAGUGUAGAGGUGAAAUUCGUAGAUAUUCGCAAGAACACCAGUGGCGAAGGCGGCUCACUGGCCCGGUACUGACGCUGAGGUGCGAAAGCGUGGGAGCAAACAGG
RNAcentral lists this ribosomal RNA (251 nucleotides) under uncultured bacterium. RNAcentral describes it as "partial 16S ribosomal RNA". It matches the Rfam family "Bacterial small subunit ribosomal RNA", at positions 524 to 776 of the family's 1533-position model. The record is from RNAcentral.